RNAcentral lists this long non-coding RNA (1391 nucleotides) under Mus musculus (house mouse). RNAcentral's name for it is "long non-coding RNA chr12:53154208-53155599". Lineage: Eukaryota; Metazoa; Chordata; Mammalia; Rodentia; Muridae. The record is from RNAcentral.
AAUAUUUGUAGCAAGACAAUCUGGAAGCUGAGAAGACCAAGAUUGGGGCAACAGAAGAUUCAGUGUCUGGUGAGAUCCUUUGCUCUGCUUCAUUGAUGGGUGUUCUCUGUGCUUCCUCACAGCGAGGGGUGCUGAACAAGCCCCCCCCCCCCCAGCCUUCUAUGGGCAGUUAUCUCCUUCACAACUUACUCACCUUCCAAAGACUUGUAUUAGUUCUGUUGCACUGGGGACUAGGCUUGAACAUGCAAAUUUAGAGAUACAGACAUUGAAAACACAGCACAGGCAUUUGCAGGCAUUGGGGCAAUUGUCAAUAAGCAGUUUCCAGUGAAGAGUCUACUUGGCUCUCUUCUUGCCACGCAAGAAAGGGAACAACAGAGUUGAUUAGAGUGAUAUGGUUUUAAAGGCAGUUUAAGAACAUUCUAAUUUGUUUUUUAAAGUUCUUUUUAAAGUUUUGUAUGUUAUGAUUGAUUAACAACCUUGUAACAUCAUAUUUAAGACACACUAAAUAGGAGAUGCCCCAAAGCACAGAGAAUGAGCCCUAUGCAAAACACUGUCUGAGCAGCCCCAGUUUAUCUACAACCGUGAGGAAUUUGAGCUGUGGGGAGUAAGCUCUUCAGAAAAAAAAAAAAACAAACAAACAAACAAAAAAAACCCCACAGCAUUAAAAGCAGAGAUGUGAAGCAUUGUGAAACUUGGACUUCAUCACCCCGAGAAAUGGCCAGUCCAGGCCGUCUGGUCUCGGAAACCUUGCCCAGCGUGAACGUUGGAGGCAGAAGAUGAUAAAGAUGUCCCAGGUGUGCCCAGAGUCCCACACAUCUCACCAGCUAAGCUUCUGAGCUCAUCAGCUCCCUACUGUGCAGCUUUCCUUCAUUCAUGUAGCUUGGGGAAGUUUGACUGGAAGCCUCAGGAAUAAAUUUGGAUAUUUUUCCAUAUCAUAAGGACAUGCAACAAUACGGCUUAUUAAUUUAGUGCAAAUGAGUAAUAUAGUCUAAUCUAAACUGUGUUAAAAUUUUAAAAACUCUUCUUUGUAUUCUAUCUACCAUUUAAAACAAAACACCAUAAACAAAUGGGGGGUAUUAUAGAUGUAAAGUGUUAUUCAGCAAGAUUUAUUCAAGGUCUUAAAUGAUUCAGGCAUUAAGAACAUAAAAAUACUCAAAAUCCUCUGUAAACCCCAUAUUCCCUAACCGCUGGUUUAUAAAAACAUCUGGGGCUAUAGAAUUCGUCUGGUUCUUCUAGUUGACCGUGUUACUUUAAACUAAGUCAGAAAGUUGAAGCAAAUCAUUCCUUUCGUGUGUAUUUCCUGGCAAACGCGUGUCAUUUAUUUUAAAGAAUCUCCGAAUAAAAAGCCAAAUUGCUGGAAUGUACCUUGUCAUUAAAAUAUGGUGAAAAGC